RNAcentral lists this ribosomal RNA (657 nucleotides) under uncultured archaeon. RNAcentral's name for it is "bacterial SSU rRNA". It matches the Rfam family "Archaeal small subunit ribosomal RNA", at positions 1 to 664 of the family's 1478-position model. The record is from RNAcentral.
UUUCCGGUUGAUCCCGCCGGACCUGACUGCUAUCGGAUUGAUACUAAGCCAUGCUAGUCUUUGUAGUAACACAAGGCAUACGGCUCAGUAACGCGUAGUCAGCCUACCCUAUGGACGGGGAUAAUCUCGGGAAACCGAGCAUAAUACCCGGCAGACCACUUAUCCUGGAAUGGUUAGUGGUUAAAAUGAUUCGUCGCCAUAGGAUGGGACUGCGGCCUAUCAGCUUGUUGGUGAGGUAAUGGCCCACCAAGGCGAUUACAGGUACGGGCUCUGAGAGGGGAGGCCCGGAGAUGGGUACUGAGACAAGGACCCAGGCCCUAUGGGGCGCAGCAGGCGAGAAAACUUUGCAAUGUGCGAAAGCACGACAAGGUUAAUCCGAGUGAUUUCUGCUAAAGGAAUCUUUUGUUAGUUCUAAAAAUACUAGUGAAUAAGGGGUGGGCAAGUUCUGGUGUCAGCCGCCGCGGUAAAACCAGCACCUCUAGUGGUCAGGAGGAUUAUUGGGCCUAAAGCACCCGUAGCCUGUUCUAUAAGUUUGCGGUUAAAUCUAUACGCUCAACGUAUAGGCUGCCGUAAAUACUGUAGAACUAGGGAGUGGGAGAGGUAGACGGUACUCGAUAGGAAGGGGUAAAAUCCUUUGAUCUAUUGAUGACCACCUGU